GACGAACGCUGGCGGCGUGCUUAACACAUGCAAGUCGAACGGAAAGGCCUCAGCUUGCUGGGGUACUCGAGUGGCGAACGGGUGAGUAACACGUGGGUGAUCUGCCUUGCACUCUGGGAUAAGCUUGGGAAACUGGGUCUAAUACCGGAUAUGAACUGCCUUUAGUGUGGUGGUUGGAAAGUUUUUUCGGUGCAAGAUGAGCUCGCGGCCUAUCAGCUUGUUGGUGGGGUAAUGGCCUACCAAGGCGUCGACGGGUAGCCGGCCUGAGAGGGUGUACGGCCACAUUGGGACUGAGAUACGGCCCAGACUCCUACGGGAGGCAGCAGUGGGGAAUAUCGCACAAUGGGCGGAAGCCUGAUGCAGCGACGCCGCGUGGGGGAUGACGGCCUUCGGGUUGUAAACUCCUUUCGACAGGGACGAAGCUUUUUGUGACGGUACCUGUAUAAGAAGCACCGGCUAACUACGUG
This 467-nucleotide ribosomal RNA is filed under the name uncultured bacterium. RNAcentral describes it as "partial 16S ribosomal RNA". It matches the Rfam family "Bacterial small subunit ribosomal RNA", at positions 28 to 507 of the family's 1533-position model. The record is from RNAcentral.